UGCAGUCGAGCGCACUCUUCGGAGUGAGCGGCGGACGGGUUAGUAACGCGUGGGAACGUGCCCUUCUCUAAGGAAUAGCCACUGGAAACGGUGAGUAAUACCUUAUACGCCCUUCGGGGGAAAGAUUUAUCGGAGAAGGAUCGGCCCGCGUUAGAUUAGAUAGUUGGUGGGGUAAUGGCCUACCAAGUCUACGAUCUAUAGCUGGUUUUAGAGGAUGAUCAGCAACACUGGGACUGAGACACGGCCCAGACUCCUACGGGAGGCAGCAGUGGGGAAUCUUGGACAAUGGGCGCAAGCCUGAUCCAGCCAUGCCGCGUGAGUGAUGAAGGCCUUAGGGUCGUAAAGCUCUUUCGCCAGAGAUGAUAAUGACAGUAUCUGGUAAAGAAACCCCGGCUAACUCCGUGCCAGCAGCCGCGGUAAUACGGAGGGGGUUAGCGUUGUUCGGAAUUACUGGGCGUAAAGCGUACGUAGGCGGAUCAGAAAGUAGGGGGUGAAAUCCCGAGGCUCAACCUCGGAACUGCCUCCUAAACUCCUGGUCUUGAGUUCGAGAGAGGUGAGUGGAAUUCCAAGUGUAGAGGUGAAAUUCGUAGAUAUUUGGAGGAACACCAGUGGCGAAGGCGGCU
RNAcentral lists this ribosomal RNA (623 nucleotides) under uncultured bacterium. Its description in RNAcentral is "bacterial SSU rRNA". It matches the Rfam family "Bacterial small subunit ribosomal RNA", at positions 56 to 726 of the family's 1533-position model. The record is from RNAcentral.